RNAcentral lists this ribosomal RNA (465 nucleotides) under uncultured bacterium. Its description in RNAcentral is "partial 16S ribosomal RNA". It matches the Rfam family "Bacterial small subunit ribosomal RNA", at positions 28 to 506 of the family's 1533-position model. The record is from RNAcentral.
GAUGAACGCUGGCGGCGUGCUUAACACAUGCAAGUCGAACGAUGAAGCCCAGCUUGCUGGGUGGAUUAGUGGCGAACGGGUGAGUAACACGUGAGUAACCUGCCCUUUACUCUUGGAUAAGCCUUGGAAACUGGGUCUAAUACUGGAUAUGACUUCUCAUCGCAUGGGGGGGGGGGGAAAGAUUUAUUGGUCUUGGAUGGACUCGCGGCCUAUCAGCUUUUUGGUGAGGUAAUGGCUCACCAAGGCGACGACGGGUAGCCGGCCGGAGAGGGUGACCGGCCACAUGGGGACUGAGAAACGGCCCAGACGCUGAGGGGGGGCAACAGUGGGGAAUAUGGAACAAGGGGCGAAGGCCUGAUGAAGCGACGCCGGGGGGGGGAGGACGGCCUUCGGGUUGUAAACCUCUUUCAGUAGGGAAGAAGCGAGAGGGAGGGUACCGGUAGAAGAAGCGCCGGCUAACUACGU